AGGAAAGUAGGGGAUCGCAAGACCUUGCGCUUUUGGAGCGGCCGAUGUCUGAUUAGCUAGUUGGUGAGGUAAAGGCUUACCAAGGCGUCGAUCAGUAGCUGGUCUGAGAGGACGACCAGCCACACUGGGACUGAGACACGGCCCAGACUCCUACGGGAGGCAGCAGUGGGGAAUUUUGGACAAUGGGGGAAACCCUGAUCCAGCCAUGCCGCGUGAGUGAAGAAGGCCUUCGGGUUGUAAAGCUCUUUCAGCCGGAACGAAACGGUCACAGCUAAUACCUGUGACUACUGACGGUACCGGAAGAAGAAGCACCGGCUAACUACGUGCCAGCAGCCGCGGUAAUACGUAGGGUGCGAGCGUUAAUCGGAAUUACUGGGCGUAAAGCGUGCGCAGGCGGUUUUGUAAGUCAGAUGUGAAAUCCCCGGGCUUAACCUGGGAACUGCGUUUGAAACUACAAGGCU
This 461-nucleotide ribosomal RNA is filed under the name uncultured beta proteobacterium. RNAcentral describes it as "bacterial SSU rRNA". It matches the Rfam family "Bacterial small subunit ribosomal RNA", at positions 190 to 642 of the family's 1533-position model. The record is from RNAcentral. Lineage: Bacteria; Pseudomonadati; Pseudomonadota; Betaproteobacteria.